AGGACGAACGCUGGCGGCGUGCCUAACACAUGCAAGUGGAGUGACGAACCAGGCUUCGGCCUGGGGCAAAGCCGCGAACGGGUGAGUAACACGUGGGUAACCUGCCCCGAUGAUUGGGACAACCCGAGGAAACUCGGGCUAAUACCGAAUGUGCCCUCCGACCAUAAGGUCGCUGGGGAAAGGAAGCUUCGGCCUUCGCAUCGGGAUGGGCCCGCGGCCCAUUAGCUUGUUGGUGAGGUAACGGCUCACCAAGGCAACGAUGGGUAGCUGGUCUGAGAGGGCGACCGGCCACACUGGGACUGAGACACGGCCCAGACUCCUACGGGAGGCAGCAGUGGGGAAUAUUGCACAAUGGGGGAAACCCUGAUGCAGCGACGCCGCGUGCGGGAUGAAGGCCUUCGGGUUGUAAACCGCUUUCAGCAGGGGCGAAUUCAGACGGUACCUGCAGAAGAAGCGCCGGCUAACUACGCGCCAGCAGCCGCGGUA
RNAcentral lists this ribosomal RNA (486 nucleotides) under uncultured bacterium. RNAcentral describes it as "SSU rRNA". It matches the Rfam family "Bacterial small subunit ribosomal RNA", at positions 26 to 522 of the family's 1533-position model. The record is from RNAcentral.